Molecule: transfer RNA, 72 nt
Filed under: Pangasianodon hypophthalmus (striped catfish)
Lineage: Eukaryota; Metazoa; Chordata; Actinopteri; Siluriformes; Pangasiidae
Description: tRNA-Glu
Rfam family: tRNA
About the family: Transfer RNA (tRNA) molecules are approximately 80 nucleotides in length. Their secondary structure includes four short double-helical elements and three loops (D, anti-codon, and T loops).
Source: RNAcentral
UCCCUGGAGGACUAGUGGUUCGGCCACAGCGCUCUCUCCGCUUUGGCCCGGGUUCGAUUCCCAGCCAGGGAA